RNAcentral lists this ribosomal RNA (512 nucleotides) under Stenotrophomonas acidaminiphila. RNAcentral describes it as "bacterial SSU rRNA". It matches the Rfam family "Bacterial small subunit ribosomal RNA", at positions 373 to 876 of the family's 1533-position model. The record is from RNAcentral. Lineage: Bacteria; Pseudomonadati; Pseudomonadota; Gammaproteobacteria; Lysobacterales; Lysobacteraceae.
GGGCGCAAGCCUGAUCCAGCCAUACCGCGUGGGUGAAGAAGGCCUUCGGGUUGUAAAGCCCUUUUGUUGGGAAAGAAAAGCAGCCGGUUAAUACCCGGUUGUUCUGACGGUACCCAAAGAAUAAGCACCGGCUAACUUCGUGCCAGCAGCCGCGGUAAUACGAAGGGUGCAAGCGUUACUCGGAAUUACUGGGCGUAAAGCGUGCGUAGGUGGUUGUUUAAGUCUGUCGUGAAAGCCCUGGGCUCAACCUGGGAAUGGCGAUGGAAACUGGGCGACUAGAGUGUGGCAGAGGGUAGUGGAAUUCCUGGUGUAGCAGUGAAAUGCGUAGAGAUCAGGAGGAACAUCCGUGGCGAAGGCGACUGCCUGGGCCAACACUGACACUGAGGCACGAAAGCGUGGGGAGCAAACAGGAUUAGAUACCCUGGUAGUCCACGCCCUAAACGAUGCGAACUGGAUGUUGGGUGCAAUUUGGCACGCAGUAUCGAAGCUAACGCGUUAAGUUCGCCGCCUGG